RNAcentral lists this ribosomal RNA (492 nucleotides) under uncultured bacterium. RNAcentral's name for it is "partial 16S ribosomal RNA". It matches the Rfam family "Bacterial small subunit ribosomal RNA", at positions 29 to 507 of the family's 1533-position model. The record is from RNAcentral.
AGUGAACGCUGGCGGUAGGCCUAACACAUGCAAGUCGAACGGCAGCACAGUAAGAGCUUGCUCUUACGGGUGGCGAGUGGCGGACGGGUGAGGAAUACAUCGGAAUCUACUUUUUCGUGGGGGAUAACGUAGGGAAACUUACGCUAAUACCGCAUACGACCUACGGGUGAAAGCAGGGGAUCUUCGGACCUUGCGCGAUUGAAUGAGCCGAUGUCGGAUUAGCUAGUUGGCGGGGUAAAGGCCCACCAAGGCGACGAUCCGUAGCUGGUCUGAGAGGAUGAUCAGCCACACUGGAACUGUGACACGGUCCAGACUCCUACGGGAGGCAGCAGUGGGGAAUAUUGGACAAUGGGCGCAAUCCUGAUCCAGCCAAACCGCGUGGGUGAAGAAGGCCUUCGGGUUGUAAAGCCCUUUUGUUGGGAAAGAAAAGCAGCAGGUUAAUACCCCGCUGUUCUGACGGUACCCAAAGAAUAAGCACCGGCUAACUUCGUG